This 956-nucleotide ribosomal RNA is filed under the name uncultured beta proteobacterium. RNAcentral's name for it is "bacterial SSU rRNA". It matches the Rfam family "Bacterial small subunit ribosomal RNA", at positions 528 to 1482 of the family's 1533-position model. Lineage: Bacteria; Pseudomonadati; Pseudomonadota; Betaproteobacteria. The record is from RNAcentral.
GAGGGUGCAAGCGUUAAUGGGAAUUACUGGGUAAAGCGUGCGCAGGGGCGGCCAAGUCAGUGUGAAUCCCCGGGCUUAACCUGGAAUUGCGCAUUGAAACUCUGUGGCUUGAAUGUGGCAGUAGUGGGGGUGAAUUCCACGUGUAGCAGUGAAAUGCGUAGAGAUGUGGAGGAACACCGAUGGCGAAGGCGGCCCCCUGGGUCAACACUGACGCUCAUGACAGCGAAAGCGUGUGGUAGCAAACAGGAUUAGAUACCCUGGUAGUCCACGCCCUAAACGAUGUCAACUAGGUGUUGGGGAAGGAGACUUCCUUAGUACCGCAGCUAACGCGUGAAGUCGACCGCCUGGGGAGUACGGUCGCAAGAUUAAAACUCAAAGGAACUGACGGGGACCCGCACAAGCGGUGGAUGAUGUGGAUUAAUUCGAUGCAACGCGAAAAACCUUACCUACCCUUGACAUGUACGCGAAGCCUGAUGAGAGCUGGGUGUGCCCUACAGGGAGCCGUAACAUCAUGGUGCUGCAUGGCGUGUCGUCAGCUCGUGUCGUGAGAUGUUGGGUUAAGUCCCGUAACGAGCGCAACCCUUGUCAUUAGUUGCUACAUUCAGUUGGGCACUCUAAUGAGACUGCCGGUGACAAACCGGAGGAAGGUGGGGAUGACGUCAAGUCCUCAUGGCCCUUAUGGGUUGGGCCUCACACGUCAUACAAUGGCCGAUACAGAGGGUUGCCAACCCGCGAGGGGGAGCCAAUCCCACAAAGUCCGUCGUAGUCCGGAUUGGAGUCUGCAACUCGACUCCGUGAAGUCGGAAUCGCUAGUAAUCGCGGAUCAGCAUGUCGCGGUGAAUACGUUCCCGGGUCUUGUACACACCGCCCGUCACACCAUGGGAGUGGGUUUCACCAGAAGCAGGUAGCCUAACCCCCGGGAGGGCGCCUACCACGGUGUGAUCAUGACUGGGGUG